Molecule: RNA transcript, 1238 nt
Organism: Hyposmocoma kahamanoa
Lineage: Eukaryota; Metazoa; Arthropoda; Insecta; Lepidoptera; Cosmopterigidae
Gene name: sex-regulated protein janus-B-like
Exons: 4
Source: RefSeq, a predicted model, not a curated record
UAUAAACCUACUCGUCAGAGCUACAAAUCUAAUAACAGUUUUUAUGCUAAGAUUCUGCACGCAUGUAUCAGCGUAUACGGAAUACUGAUUAAAAAUCUUUUUAUGAAUGCGCUUUCUACAGCAACAGUAUUGGUGACAGGAUGUUCAUGUAAUGGCCACCGCCCCCCCAGCUGACCCUUCUCCUGUCACUGAGCAAAAGCCGAGCUGUAAUUGCCCAGAUUUAUCUACCAUACAAAAAGUAGACAUCGAUAAAGACGGUACCUACAAAUACGUCGCCUUCACAGUCUGCGACCCCAAGGUUCGAACAGGAGCAAUUCCUGUUGUCAUCGUCAGAGGAUAUAAAAGGUUCAUAGACUUUGAGGAGAUUAUAGAAGAGGUACAAGACGUACUACAACCCUUAAUCUGUGAACCAUUUAUGGGAGGACGCAUAACUCACAAUUCAGUCAACAAUACGAUCCACAUCUUCGGCACCGCUUUAGGCGUUGACAGGGGCAAGCCCGAUCGUGAGUUUAUCGCCAAGCUAGUCCGAGAACAAUACCCAGGUUUCACAGUUACAACUGGCGAAAAGGACAUCGUUAGCCCGCCACCAUCGCCUUCUGGCACAACUGAAGCUCCUGCCACACCUGCAACUGCUACACCCUAACAGGAGAAAAGAUAGAAAGGUUCAAUAGCAACAUACUUUUCUGUAUUUACACAGACUAGAUGCAUUCCGUGCAAACUGACAACAAAGUCUAAGAAAACGUUAUCUCUUGCGGUCGACUUGAAAUCUAGUGUCAAUCUUGGUGAAGAUCUCUGUUAUGGAGACUACUGCAAAACCGAUAAAAUGUACCUGUCACGAACUGGAAUCCAUACCUAGAGUAGACAUUGACUCUGACGGUGUCUUCAAGUAUGUCCUCGUGAAAGUCCAUGCGGAUCGUAACGGCGUAAAAUUGCCCGCUUGCAUGCCUUCUAUCGCGCUUGUCAGGGGAUACAAACGAUGCAACAACCACACGGAAAUUUUUAAUGAGCUUAAAGCAAAAAUGAAACCACUGGUCUGUGUGUCUCUUGGUGGGGGCAAAAUUAAACAUGAGCCGGGUUUGAAGAGGAUCCACAUCUACGGCAAGUCAGAAGGCCUGGGCAAGGCCGAUCAUAUAAUCACAGCAAAGGUCAUCCAAGGGACAUUAGCAUACCAUAAAUACACAAUCACGGCUGGUGAUGAAGGCUAAAAAUGUAUGGACUCGUUGUUAUUUCGUUAAUUA